GCGCAGCAGUCGCGAAAACUUUACAAUGUGCGAAAGCACGAUAAGGGAACUCUGAGUGCCUUCUAAGGAGGCUGUUCAGGUGUCUAAAAAGCACCUGGAGUAAGGGCUGGGUAAGACCGGUGCCAGCCGCCGCGGUAACACCGGCAGCCCAGGUGGUAGCCACUUUUAUUGGGUCUAAAGCGUCCGUAGCCGGUUGAGUAAGUUCCUUGGGAAAUUUGGCUGCUCAACAGUCAAGCUUCCAGGGAAUACUGCUCGACUUGGGACUGGGAGAGGUCAGAGGUACUCCAGGGGUAGGGGUGAAAUCCAUUAAUCCCUGGGGGACCACCGGUAGCGAAGGCGUCUGACCAGACCAGGUCCGACGGUGAGGGACGAAGGCUAGGGGCGCGAACCGGAUUAGAUACCCGGGUAGU
Molecule: ribosomal RNA, 410 nt
Filed under: uncultured microorganism
Description: bacterial SSU rRNA
Rfam family: Archaeal small subunit ribosomal RNA
Source: RNAcentral